AAUGACCCCAGGAAACCAGGAUCAGACAUUGGCAUUGAGGAUUGAGUCCAGCCAGCUCUCCCAUUCACAGAUGGAGAAGGUGAAGCACAGAGGGCCUACGCACUGAAAUCUCUCCUGUCUACGGCCGCCAGGUGAAUCGUGCCAAGACGCCGCUUUCACAGGUGAAUCGUGCCAAGACGCCACUUUCACAGAUUGAGCACUUACUUACCUGGUAUUGUGAUGACCUGUGUCUCUCCCCUUGACCGGAUUGUGACAUCCAAGGCAGGAACCUUGCCUGG
Pan troglodytes (chimpanzee) is the source of this 278-nucleotide long non-coding RNA. RefSeq lists it as uncharacterized. The record is from RefSeq and is a predicted model, not a curated record. The transcript has 4 exons. NCBI's taxonomy places the organism in Eukaryota, Metazoa, Chordata, Mammalia, Primates, Hominidae.